Molecule: ribosomal RNA, 1286 nt
Filed under: metagenome
Description: bacterial SSU rRNA
Rfam family: Bacterial small subunit ribosomal RNA
Source: RNAcentral
AGGCCUUGCGCUCUUUGAGCGGCCGAUAUCAGAUUAGCUAGUUGGUGGGGUAAAAGCUCACCAAGGCGACGAUCUGAGAGAUGAUCCGCCACACUGGAACUGAGACACGGUCCAGACUCCUACGGGAGGCAGCAGCGGGGAAUUUUGGACAAUGGGGGCAACCCUGAUCCAGCCAUGCCGCGUGAGUGAAUAAGGCCUUCGGGUUGUAAAGCUCUUUCGGCCGGGAAGAAAUCGUAUCAGCUAAUACCUGGUGCGGAUGACGGUACCGGCAUAAGAAGCACCGGCUAACUACGUGCCAGCAGCCGCGGUAAUACGUAGGGUGCGAGCGUUAAUCGGAAUUACUGGGCGUAAAGCGUGCGCAGGCGGUUUUGUAAGACAGGCGUGAAAUCCCCGGGCUCAACCUGGGAACUGCGUUUGUGACUGCAAGGCUAGAGUACGGCAGAGGGGGGUGGAAUUCCACGUGUAGCAGUGAAAUGCGUAGAGAUGUGGAGGAACACCAAUGGCGAAGGCAGCCCCCUGGGUCGAUACUGACGCUCAUGCACGAAAGCGUGGGUAGCAAACAGGAUUAGAUACCCUGGUAGUCCACGCCCUAAACGAUGUCAACUAGGUGUUGGGAGGGUAAAACCUUUUAGUACCGGAGCUAACGCGUGAAGUUGACCGCCUGGGGAGUACGGCCGCAAGGUUAAAACUCAAAGGAAUUGACGGGGACCCGCACAAGCGGUGGAUGAUGUGGAUUAAUUCGAUGCAACGCGAAAAACCUUACCUACCCUUGACAUGUCAGGAACUUUCCAGAGAUGGAUUGGUGCUCGAAAGAGAACCUGAACACAGGUGCUGCAUGGCUGUCGUCAGCUCGUGUCGUGAGAUGUUGGGUUAAGUCCCGCAACGAGCGCAACCCUUGUCGUUAAUUGCCAUCAUUUAGUUGGGCACUUUAACGAGACUGCCGGUGACAAACCGGAGGAAGGUGGGGAUGACGUCAAGUCCUCAUGGCCCUUAUGGGUAGGGCUUCACACGUCAUACAAUGGUCGGUACAAAGGGUCGCCAAGCCGCGAGGUGGAGCUAAUCCCAGAAAGCCGAUCGUAGUCCGGAUUGCAGGCUGCAACUCGCCUGCAUGAAGUCGGAAUCGCUAGUAAUCGUGGAUCAGCAUGUCACGGUGAAUACGUUCCCGGGUCUUGUACACACCGCCCGUCACACCAUGGGAGCGGGUUCCGCCAGAAGUAGGUAGCCUAACCGCAAGGAGGGCGCUACCACGGCGGGGUUCGUGACUGGGGUGAAGUCGUAACAAGGUA